RNAcentral lists this transfer RNA (88 nucleotides) under Gemmatimonadaceae bacterium. Its description in RNAcentral is "tRNA-Ser". It matches the Rfam family "tRNA". From Rfam's summary of the family: Transfer RNA (tRNA) molecules are approximately 80 nucleotides in length. The record is from RNAcentral. Lineage: Bacteria; Pseudomonadati; Gemmatimonadota; Gemmatimonadia; Gemmatimonadales; Gemmatimonadaceae.
GGACGGGUGGCCGAGUGGUUUAAGGCGCACGCCUGGAAAGUGUGUGUACGUUAAUAGCGUACCGUGGGUUCGAAUCCCACCUCGUCCG